AGGAAUUGGCGGGGGAGCACCACAAGGGGUGAAGCCUGCGGUUCAAUUGGAGUCAACGCCAGGAAACUUACCAGGAGAGACAGCAGGUUGAGGGUCAGUCUGAAGAACUUACCUGACGAGCUGAGAGGAGGUGCAUGGCCGUCGCCAGCUCGUGCCGUGAGGCGUCCUGUUAAGUCAGGCAACGAGCGAGACCCCUAUCGGUAAUUGCUAACUGCCCAGAGAUGGGUAGAGGCUAGUUACAGAGACUGCCGUUGAUAAAACGGAGGAAGGAAGGGGCCACGGCAGGUCAGUAUGCCCCGAAACUCCUGGGCCACACGCGGGCUGCAAUGGUAGGGACAAUAGGUUCCGACCUCGAAAGAGGAAGGCAGUCCCGAAACCCUACCCCAGUUGUGAUCGAGGAUUGAAACCCGUCCUCGUGAAUAUGGAAUCCCUAGUAACCGCGUGUCAUCACCGCGCGGUGAAUACGUCCCUGCUCCUUGCACACACCGCCCGUC
RNAcentral lists this ribosomal RNA (494 nucleotides) under uncultured crenarchaeote. RNAcentral's name for it is "bacterial SSU rRNA". It matches the Rfam family "Archaeal small subunit ribosomal RNA", at positions 860 to 1354 of the family's 1478-position model. Lineage: Archaea; Thermoproteati; Thermoproteota. The record is from RNAcentral.